UUUGUGCGCGUGAAAGAAUCCGGUCCGGUUCAAGAUGAUAGAAAACCUUUUUAUAAAUCGAAUUAUUAUAUAUUAUAUAUGUAGUCCAAAACAUAGCUGUUUUUCUUCGUAUUGGAUCUUUCUGGAAGGAAGGAGCACGCAGCAACCCUACCCCAACCCAAACCCUAAAUCCCAAUCUUCAUUUCGAUUAUCUUCCUCUACUACUUCCUUCAGGCGCUGAUUUAUCCGUACGCGAUUCGGGGUAGACUGCUGCUGCGGGGUUUCUUCUUUCACAUAUAAGUACUGAACUAAUUGAAGAUGAAUUAUGGGUUAUCUCUUAUGAAUACUUUUGGAUGACAUUUUUGGAAUAUGGUUUGUAUGUACCAGUUUGCAUUUAUAUGGAUUUUUAUAUGACUUUUUUGUAAAAUCAUACUAGAUUUAUGAUUGUUUUAGCCUUUUUUUUUCCUGAUUUUAACUCCAUUGUCGAAGAAGAACAAAUAUAUAGCCUAAAAUGAUUGUUGGAAAAUCUAAAGUAAACAAGAAAUUAUGGGUUUGUGCCAACUGACCUCACCCUAGUCCGAAUUCAGUUCCAAUCCCUAAAAUCCCACCCUGGCUAUGAGCUUUAAAUUAAAAACCUGAAAAAAAUCAUAUUAGUAAUUUGCACAUCCCACAAACACCCAACAAUUUGACCACUGACCUCUGGUGUGCUAUUUCGGUUAGCUUUCAGCUGCAAGUACUUACCCUCAUCAUUUUGCCUUGAUUCUCUGACUUCUACCGCUCAACCUUGUUCUUGUUUCUGUCUAACUCAACUACACGUCCGCCAUCUGCUGCAAGGUUUUGGGAGACUAAAAUCAUCUGCUACCGAUAUCACUAGUGUGGAUUCUCUUUUGUUAAGGAGAAAUGUAGGAAUCAGAUCAAUUUAACUUUGUUGGUUCUGUCAGUUAAGAAUUCUGUAAAAUAUUGAGGGGAAUUAUACUUGUUUAAUGAGACUCGGUUAUUGUUUGUGCUUCAUUUCUCCCAGGUUUGACAAAAUAAUUCAUAGAAAGUUAGUCUUU
Vigna umbellata (rice bean) is the source of this 1034-nucleotide non-coding RNA. NCBI's taxonomy places the organism in Eukaryota, Viridiplantae, Streptophyta, Magnoliopsida, Fabales, Fabaceae. The record is from RefSeq and is a predicted model, not a curated record.